Molecule: non-coding RNA, 204 nt
Filed under: Thiohalorhabdus denitrificans
Lineage: Bacteria; Pseudomonadati; Pseudomonadota; Gammaproteobacteria; Thiohalorhabdales; Thiohalorhabdaceae
Source: RNAcentral
AUCUUGGGCCUUAUCUCCGGUUCACCCCCAAAAUAUUGGGUGUUGCAAGAGGGAACCCGGUGCGAAUCCGGGACUGACGCGCAGCGGUGUUGGGGAACGAAAACCGCACGAGGUCGCCGACCUCGGGCACUGCCCUUCGGGGUGGGAAGCCGCGGCCGUAGGCUGCCCCUGAGUCCGAAGACCUGCCGGAGAGCCCCGUCCCCU